AUGGCCGCCCGCAAUCCAUCUGCGUCCGCCGCACACCCGCUCCACCAGGAUUCCGUUGCCGCCCCCAACUCGCCCCUGCUCGCCGCCGACCCGCUCCACCAGGCUGCCGUGGCCAACCCCAACUCUCCCGUGCUCGCCGCCAACCCGGUCCACCAGGCCAGCGCGGCGGCGUCGGCGGGGAUGUAUGGCGCUCCUGGGGCCCUCCCAACCGAGCAAGGGUCUUUGACGGUGCUGCCGCCCCCGCCGCCGCCACAAGGCGCGCCUGUGAUGAAGACGGUCCAGGGCGUGAACAUGAUGGCUUCGACGCCCCUGCAAGGACCCCCGGUGAUGCAAGGGGCAAACACGGUGGUGCCGAUGCCCCUGCGGGAGCUGGUCAUGACCCUGCCCCUACAAGGCAGACCUGUGAUGGCACCUCUGCCUUUCCCCAGGGGUCCUCCAUCCAUGAAGGCACCUCCGUCCUUCUAUGAUGUCGCUUCACCAAUGACGGUGCAGCAGCCUCCACAUGCCGGAUACAUGAUGAGCCAGCCGCUGUUGCGUGCCAGCCCUCCACCGAUGGCGGCGCUGCAUCUCCCACAGGCCGUACAGAUGGUGGCACAGCCGCCUUUGCCAGCUGGCCCCCUCCUCUCAAGCGUCACCGUCCUGACUACUUUGACAUGCCUUUUGGACCGCGGAUGA
Molecule: ribosomal RNA, 675 nt
Filed under: Triticum aestivum (bread wheat)
Lineage: Eukaryota; Viridiplantae; Streptophyta; Magnoliopsida; Poales; Poaceae
Description: partial small subunit ribosomal RNA
Source: RNAcentral